Molecule: ribosomal RNA, 855 nt
Filed under: uncultured bacterium
Lineage: Bacteria
Description: bacterial SSU rRNA
Rfam family: Bacterial small subunit ribosomal RNA
Source: RNAcentral
AGGACGAACGCUGGCGGCGUGCUUAACACAUGCAAGUCGAGCGGAAAGGCCCUUCGGGGUACUCGAGCGGCGAACGGGUGAGUAACACGUGAGCAACCUGCCCUUAGCUCUGGGAUAGCUCCGGGAAACCGGAAUUAAUACCGGAUAUGACACCGGCCGACAUCGGCUGUUGUGGAAAGAAUUUCGGCUAGGGAUGGACUCGCGGCCUAUCAGCUAGUUGGUGGGGUAAUGGCCUACCAAGGCGACGACGGGUAGCCGGCCUGAGAGGGCGACCGGCCACACUGGGACUGAGACACGGCCCAGACUCCUACGGGAGGCAGCAGUGGGGAAUCUUGCGCAAUGGGCGAAAGCCUGACGCAGCAACGCCGCGUGGGGGAUGAAGGCCUUCGGGUUGUAAACCCCUUUCAGCAGGGACGAAGCGAAAGUGACGGUACCUGCAGAAGAAGCGCCGGCUAACUACGUGCCAGCAGCCGCGGUAACACGUAGGGCGCAAGCGUUGUCCGGAAUUAUUGGGCGUAAAGAGCUCGUAGGCGGACUGUCACGUCCGCUGUGAAAAGCUAGGGCUUAACCCUGGCCUUGCAGUGGAUACGGGCAGACUAGAGGUAGGUAGGGGAGAAUGGAAUUCCCGGUGUAGCGGUGAAAUGCGCAGAUAUCGGGAGGAACACCGGUGGCGAAGGCGGUUCUCUGGGCCUUACCUGACGCUGAGGAGCGAAAGCGUGGGGAGCGAACAGGAUUAGAUACCCUGGUAGUCCACGCUGUAAACGUUGGGCGCUAGGUGUGGGGUCCUUCCACGGAUUCCGUGCCGCAGCUAACGCAUUAAGCGCCCCGCCUGGGGAGUACGGCCGCAAGGCUAAA